AUGGUCAAGUUACUAAGGGUGCAUGGUGGAUGCCUAGGCGCCAGGAGGUGAUGAAGGACGUGGCAGCCUGCGAAAAGCCCAGGGGAGUCGGCAAACAGACUUUGAUCCUGGGAUCUCCGAAUGGGGAAACCCGGCGUCACUCCGCAAGGAGAUGGCGUCACCCCCGGAUGAAUGCAUAGUCCGGGUGGAAUCAACCCGGUGAACUGAAACAUCUCAGUAGCCGGAGGAAAGGAAAUCAAGCGAGACUCCGUCAGUAGCGGCGAGCGAAAGCGGAAUAGCCCAAACCGGGCUUCGGCCCGGGGUUGCGGGCGGGCAGCUCGGUCCUUGAUGAGCUAGCAGAACGGUCUGGAAAGGCCGGCCAAAGAGGGUGACAGCCCCGUACGCGGAACUCGUUGUGGACCUUGCCCGUUCCAGAGUAGCACGGAACACGUGGAACUCCGUGUGAAGCUGGGUGGACCAUCAUCCAAGGCUAAGUACUCCCUGGCGACCGAUAGUGAACUAGUAGGGCGAUUGAAAGGUGAAAAGCACCCCUUCUAGGGGAGUGAAAAGUACCUGAAACCAUGCACUUACAAGCGGUGGGAGCCCUAUGCCCCUCGUGGGAAUGGGUGACCGCGUGCCUUUUGCAUAAUGAGCCGGCGAGUUAUUGUCAGCGGCAAGGCUAACCACUUCAGGUGGGCAGCCCCAGCGAAAGCGAGUCUGAAUAGGGCGCUAAGUCGUUGGCGAUAGACCCGAAACCAAGUGAUCUACCCAUGGCCAGGGUGAACCUGCCGUAACAGGCGGGGAAGGCCCGAACCCGUUAACGUUGAAAAGUUAUGGGAUGAGCUGUGGGGAGGAGUGAAAGUCUAAUCAAACUUGGAGAUAUCUGGUUCUCCCCGAAAUGACUUUAGGGUCAGCCUCGGACCACUACGCUACGGGGGUAGAGCUACUGAAUGGAGACGGGGGCCCACCAGGCUACCCGCUCCAAUCAAACUCCGAAUACCGUAGCGACUAUUCCGGGAGUGAGCCUACGGGCGAUAACGUCCGUGGACGAGAGGGAAACAUCCCAGACCGCCAGCUAAGGUCCCUAAUACCUGCUAAGUGCUUAAGGAAGUCCGAUUUCCGAGACAGUCAGGAUGUUGGCUUAGAAGCAGCCACCAUUUAAAAAGUGCGUAAUAGCUUACUGACCGAGAUAUCGGGCGCCGAAAAUGAUCGGGACUCAAGCAGGUAACCGAAGCUGCGGGCUUGUAUGGUUCGUCGAACCGUAUGAGCGGUAGGGGAGCGUUGCUGGACAGAUACAAGCGGUACCGUAAGGAGCCGUGUCGGGUCCAGCAAGUGAGAAUGCCGGUAUGAGUAACGAUAAACCAGGUGAUGAAUCCUGGUCGCCGCAAGCCUAAGGUUUCCUGGGGAAGGCAAAUCCGCCCAGGGUUAGUCGGAUCCUAAGGCGAGGCCGAAAGGCGUAGCCGAUGGGCAGCAGGUUAAUAUUCCUGCACUCCGUAUGGAAGGCUUGUACCUGAGGGGUGACGCGGGUGUGAAAGCUGGAAGCCGGUUAGAAGUGGCUAUUGGGGCUCUGGUCCCGGUCGGUAGGCAAAUCCGCCGGCCAUCAAGGGACUGGUGCACCGCGAGGGCCGUUUGAUGCCCGAGCAGCUGAAUCACCCGCCGAGAAAACCCUCGCAGGGACAACCAUGCGGAUCCGUACCGCAAACUGACACAGGUAGGCGAGGCGCGUAGCCUCAGGCGCUCGAGAGAACCGUCCUCAAGGAACUAGGCAAUUUUACCCCGUAACUUCGGAAGAAGGGGUCCCUACAGCUCCGACAGAUUAACCUUUGUCGGAGGCUGAGGGCGCAGCGAAUCGGGUCUGCCGACUGUUUAUCAAAAACACAGGACUCUGCAUAAGUCGUAUAGACGACGUAUAGGGUCUGACGCCUGCCCGGUGCGGGAAUGUUAAGGAAGCCGGUUAUUGGCCUUCGGGCUGAGAAGCUGGCGACCGAAGCACCCGUAAACGGCGGCCGUAACUAUGACGGUCCUAAGGUAGCGAAGUUCCUUGUCGGGUAAGUUCCGACCUGCAUGAAUGGCGUAACGAGCGGACCACUGUCUCGAGGACGGACUCGGUGAAAUUGUAGUGGCGGUGCCGAUACCGCCUAACCACGGCAAGACGGAAAGACCCCGUGAACCUUUACUGCAGCCUGGUAUUGGCUUCUGACUGUAAUUGCGUAGGAUAGGUGGGAGGCGUUGAAGUCCCGAUUUCGGUCGGGAUGGAGCCAUCCUUGAAAUACCACCCUUUUGCUGUUAGAAGUCUAACCGCGAUCCGUGAAGCCGGACGCGGGACCGUGCUAGGUGGGUAGUUUGACUGGGGCGGUCUCCUCCAAAAGAGUAACGGAGGAGCCCAAAGGUCAGCUCAGCGCGGUUGGCAAUCGCGCAACGAGUGUAAGGGCAGAAGCUGGCUUGACUGUGAGACCGAUAGGUCGAACAGAUGGGAAACCAGGGCCUAAUGAUCCGGUGAUCCUGUGUGGAAAGGUCAUCGCUCAACAGAUAAAAGGUACUCCGGGGAUAACAGGCUGAUCUCCCCCGAGCGUCCACAGCGGCGGGGAGGUUUGGCACCUCGAUGUCGGCCCAUCGCAUCCUGGGGCUGUAGGCGGUCCCAAGGGUUGGGCUGUUCGCCCAUUAAAGCGGUACGCGAGCUGGGUUCAGACCGGCGUGAGCCAGGUCGGUCCCUAUCUGCCGUGGUCGUACGAGCCUUGAGGGGAGAUUUCCAUAGUACGAGAGGACUUGGAAGUACUGACCUCUGGUGUGCCAGUUGUCCCGCUAGGGGCAUCGCUGGGUAGCUAAGUCGGGAAAGGAUAAUCGCUGAAAGCAUCUAAGCGAGAAGCCGUCCCCAAGAUAAGGGCUCGGUUCCACUUCGGUGGAUGAAGGCCCCUGGUAGACUACCAGGUUGAUAGGCCGGAGGUGUAAGGACAGAGAUGUCCUGAGCUGACCGGUACUAACGGCCGAAGGCUUGACCAU
Molecule: ribosomal RNA, 2979 nt
Filed under: Phycisphaerae bacterium
Lineage: Bacteria; Pseudomonadati; Planctomycetota; Phycisphaerae
Description: 23S ribosomal RNA
Rfam family: Bacterial large subunit ribosomal RNA
Source: RNAcentral